CAUGGGCAGGCUGAAGCGGGGGUAAGACCCCGUGGAGGGCCGAACCCACGCAGGUUGAAAACUGCGGGGAUGACCUGUGGGUAGGGGUGAAAGGCCAAUCAAACUCCGUGAUAGCUGGUUCUCCCCGAAAUGCAUUUAGGUGCAGCGUCGUAUUAUAGCUUGGUGGAGGUAGAGCGACUGGUUGGUUGAGCGGGACUACAAUCUUAGCAAUGUCAGCCAAACUCCGAAUGCCACUAAUUGUGUUGUACGGCAGUGAGACUGUGGGGGAUAAGCUUCAUAGUCGAGAGGGAAACAGCCCAGAUCGCCGGUUAAGGCCCCUAAGGGUGUACUAAGUGGAAAAGGAUGUGGGAUCGCGAAGACAGCCAGGAGGUUGGCUUAGAAGCAGCCAUCCUUGAAAGAGUGCGUAAUAGCUCACUGGUCAAGUGAUUCCGCGCCGAUAAUGUAGCGGGGCUUAAGUUAUCCGCCGAAGCUGUGGCAACCUGUGUGGUUGGGUAGGGGAGCGUCGUGUCAGUGGUGAAGCUGCCGGGUGACUGUGUGGUGGAGUUGAUGCGAGUGAGAAUGCAGGCAUGAGUAGCGUGUGACGGGUGGGAAUCCCGUCCGCCGAUUAUCCAAGGGUUCCAGGGUCAAGUUUGUCUGCCCUGGGUGAGUCGGGUCCUAAGGCGAGGCCGACAGGCGUAGUCGAUGGGUAACCAGUUGAUAUUCUGGUACCGGCUUGUCACCGUCCGUGUCGAGGUGUGUGAUGCUAAGCAUGUGAGCUUGUCUUGGGAGUGUUUUUGAUGCUUCUGGGGUGGGUGAGUGUGUGAACCGAUCAUGUAGUAGGCAAGCUGCGGAGGGACGCAGUGAGGUAGCUCAUCCCCGGUGAUGGUUGUCCGGGGCUAAGUGUGUGGACUGUCUGGUAGGUAAAUCCGCUGGGCGUGAAGGUUGAGGCAUGAUGGGGAGCCCACGGUUGUGGGUGAGUGAGUGAUCCUGUACUGUCGAGAAAAGCUUCGUGAGCGAGGUGGCGGGUCCGCCCGUACCCUAAACCGACACUGGUGGAUAGGUAGAGUAUACCGAGGCGAUCGAGUGAAUCGUGGUGAAGGAACUCGGCAAAAUGCCCCCGUAACUUUGGGAUAAGGGGGACCUGAGCUGUCGUGCACCCGUGCGGUGUGGUGGCGGUGAGGGGCGCAGAGUCCAGGGGGAAACGACUGUUUACCAAAAACACAGGUCCGUGCGAAGUCGUAAGACGAUGUAUACGGACUGACUCCUGCCCGGUGCUGGAAGGUUAAGGGGAACUGUGAGUGUGAUGCGUAGCGGUGAACUUAAGCCCCAGUAAACGGCGGUGGUAACUAUAACCAUCCUAAGGUAGCGAAAUUCCUUGUCGGGUAAGUUCCGACCUGCACGAAUGGAGUAACGAUUUCCCUACUGUCUCCACCAUGAACUCGG
This 1422-nucleotide ribosomal RNA is filed under the name Millepora sp. RR-2016. RNAcentral's name for it is "bacterial LSU rRNA". It matches the Rfam family "Bacterial large subunit ribosomal RNA", at positions 735 to 2036 of the family's 2925-position model. The record is from RNAcentral. Lineage: Eukaryota; Metazoa; Cnidaria; Hydrozoa; Anthoathecata; Milleporidae.